GCCUCCCUCUUUCCUCGUGCUUAACACAUGCAAGUCGAACGGAAAGGCCCUGCUUUUGUGGGGUGCUCGAGUGGCGAACGGGUGAGUAACACGUGAGUAACCUGCCCUUGACUUUGGGAUAACUUCAGGAAACUGGGGCUAAUACCGGAUAGGAGCUCCUGCUGCAUGGUGGGGGUUGGAAAGUUUCGGCGGUUGGGGAUGGACUUGCGGCUUAUCAGCUUGUUGGUGGGGUAGUGGCUUACCAAGGCUUUGACGGGUAGCCGGCCUGAGAGGGUGACCGGCCACAUUGGGACUGAGAUACGGCCCAGACUCCUACGGGAGGCAGCAGUGGGGAAUAUUGCACAAUGGGCGGAAGCCUGAUGCAGCAACGCCGCGUGCGGGAUGACGGCCUUCGGGUUGUAAACCGCUUUCGCCUGUGACGAAGCGUGAGUGACGGUAAUGGGUAAAGAAGCACCGGCUAACUACGUG
RNAcentral lists this ribosomal RNA (468 nucleotides) under uncultured bacterium. Its description in RNAcentral is "partial 16S ribosomal RNA". It matches the Rfam family "Bacterial small subunit ribosomal RNA", at positions 36 to 507 of the family's 1533-position model. The record is from RNAcentral.